CAUGCAAGUCGAACGGUAACAGCAGAGUUUGUUCUGGCUGACGAGUGGCGGACGGGUGCGUAACGCGUGGGAAUCUACCUUAUAGUGGGGGAUAGCCCGGAGAAAUCCGGAUUAAUACCGCAUAAGCCCUAUGGGGGAAAAGGGGCCUCUCUUUGGAAGCUCUUGCUAUUAGAUGAGCCCGCGUAAGAUUAGCUUGUUGGUGGGGUAAUGGCCUACCAAGGCGACGAUCUUUAGCUGGUCUGAGAGGAUGAUCAGCCACACUGGGACUGAGACACGGCCCAGACUCCUAUGGGAGGCAGCAGUGGGGAAUAUUGGACAAUGGGCGCAAGCCUGAUCCAGCAAUACCGCGUGUGUGAAGAAGGCCUGAGGGUUGUAAAGCACUUUCAAUUGUGAAGAAAAGCCUUAAAUUAAUACUUUAGGGUCUUGACGUUAACUUUAGAAGAAGCACCGGCUAACUCCGUGUUAGCAGCCGCGGUAAUACGGAGGGUGCAAGCGUUAAUCGGAAUUACUGGGCGUAAAGCGCACGUAGGCGGUUAGGUAAGUCAGAUGUGAAAGCCCCGGGUUCAACCUGGGAACUGCAUUUGAUACUGCUUAACUAGAGUAUAGUAGAGGCAAGUGGAAUUCCAGGUGUAGCGGUGAAAUGCGUAGAUAUCUGGAGGAAUAUCAGUGGCGAAGGCGACUUGCUGGACUAAUACUGACGCUGAGGUGCGAAAGCGUGGGGAGUAAACAGGAUUAGAUACCCUGGUAGUCCACGCCGUAAACGAUGUCAACUAGCCGCUGGGAGCAUUUAAGCUUUUAGUGGCGCAGCUAACGCAUUAAGUUGACCGCCUGGGGAGUACGCGCGCAAGCGUAAAACUCAAAGGAAUUGACGGGGGCCCGCACAAGCGGUGGAGCAUGUGGUUUAAUUCGAUGCAAUGCGAAGAACCUUACCAGCCCUUGAUAUCCUGCGAACUUUCUAGAGAUAGAUUGGUGCCUUUGGGAACGCAGUGACAGGUGCUGUAUGGCUGUCGUCAGCUCGUGUUGUGAGAUGUUGGGUUAAGUCCCGCAACGAGCGUAACCCUUGUCCUUAGUUGCCAGCAUGUAAUGGUGGGAAUUCUAAGGACUGCCGGUGAUAAACCGGAGGAAGGUGGGGAUGACGUCAAGUCAUUAUGGCCCUUAUGGGCUGGGCUACACACGUGCUACAAUGGCAAGUAUAGAGGGUUGCAAUCCCGUGAGGGGGAGCUAAUUUUACAAAGCUUGUCUUAGUCCAGAUUGGAGUCUGUAAUUCGACUCCAUGAAGUCGGAAUCGCUAGUAAUCGUAGAUUAGUAUUGCUACGGUGAAUACGUUCCCGGGCCUUGUAUAUACCGCCCGUCACACCAUGGGAGUGGGUUGCAAAAGAAGUGGGUAGCUUAAUAAUGGGCGCUCACCACUUUGUGAUUCAUGACUGGGGUGAAGUCGUAAUAAGGUA
This 1448-nucleotide ribosomal RNA is filed under the name metagenome. Its description in RNAcentral is "bacterial SSU rRNA". It matches the Rfam family "Bacterial small subunit ribosomal RNA". The record is from RNAcentral.